Xenia sp. Carnegie-2017 is the source of this 370-nucleotide long non-coding RNA. RefSeq lists it as uncharacterized. NCBI's taxonomy places the organism in Eukaryota, Metazoa, Cnidaria, Anthozoa, Malacalcyonacea, Xeniidae. The transcript is spliced from 3 exons. The record is from RefSeq and is a predicted model, not a curated record.
CUCCGUACCUUAGCAUAAAAUUAUCGUAUUGCUGGAUUUUUCACAAAAAUCAAAACGGCCGAAAUGGAAAGUCUAUACCUCUACUUAUCAUAUUUGGCACUUUUGUUUGAGUGGUUCUUGACCUUACGUGUUUUUGCGGACGGAUUGUUAUGUCUGCUUGGCAUUUCACAUUGCGCUCCUAAGACAAACUUCCUUUGAGGUAAAACGCAUAAACAUUUCGAGCCGAUGUCGACACAUCGUGGUCGUUGCCUACAAGAAAGUCGUCAUGUUCUGCAAGAACGUCGUCAAUAAUCUAAAAUUAUAAAAUUGUCCUCAAUUUGAUGCUACACUUGUGGGUUCCACAGAGUAUUCAAAAAUCGUGGGUACAGCA